GCGGUCGUGGCGGAAUGGCAGACGCGCUGGCUUCAGGUGCCAGUGGUGGCAACACCGUGGAGGUUCAAGUCCUCUCGACCGCA
Molecule: transfer RNA, 83 nt
Organism: Brevibacillus brevis NBRC 100599
Lineage: Bacteria; Bacillati; Bacillota; Bacilli; Caryophanales; Paenibacillaceae
Rfam family: tRNA
About the family: Transfer RNA (tRNA) molecules are approximately 80 nucleotides in length.
Source: Rfam